Long non-coding RNA from Selaginella moellendorffii, 655 nucleotides. RefSeq lists it as uncharacterized. The record is from RefSeq and is a predicted model, not a curated record. The transcript is spliced from 3 exons. Lineage: Eukaryota; Viridiplantae; Streptophyta; Lycopodiopsida; Selaginellales; Selaginellaceae.
UUAAGGCGCUGCAUCCAGGACAUCUGCAAGCUCCAUUUCCAGCAGCAGCACUACUCGGUUGUGACAAUCAACGGCGCAACCAUACUGGACGAGCUCGUGAGGAACUAACUAGCCAGGCCGAAUCAUCCAGGAAACUAAUGGUAAGCUCACUUUUGCUAUCGUUUUUUCUUUCUUUUUUUCUGUUCAUGACUACCGUGCUGGGUUCUGGGGAGUGAGUGGGAGGGCCGUGCAUCGGGAUAAUUCCUCCAUGCAUUGAGGAGUUCAAGCACCCGGGAAACUGCGCGGGUGGCAAAACCGUCAGUGGCCGAGAGUUACACCAGCAGGAUCUCCAGGUUAUCCAAGCGCGGCUACACAAUCGACAUCGAUGGUGCGGUGGUACCGGGAAAGCUCGCUCCCUCGAUCGAGAAGCGAGGUGUCGGCUUUGGAAUGUUUCUCCUGUCCCGGGGAUUGACAUUGAGACAACGAGGGUUUUUCUGACUUCUAACGCGUACAUAGACUUUGAGUUCCAGCGAGUCCUUUCAGCGACAGGUGAGAGCUUGUUCCAUGCGAUCAAAACAGGAAGUACUAACUUACAGCAGAACGGGUGAAUAUUCGUCUGUACUAAUCCCGCGGUGACAAAAGAAAGUUUGAAUGUACCAUUCUACAUGUUUCCAUA